CCUGAAUCAGUGUGUGUGUUAGUGGAAGCGUCUGGAAAGGCGCGCGAUACAGGGUGACAGCCCCGUACACAAAAAUGCACAUACUGUGAGCUCGAUGAGUAGGGCGGGACACGUGGUAUCCUGUCUGAAUAUGGGGGGACCAUCCUCCAAGGCUAAAUACUCCUGACUGACCGAUAGUGAACCAGUACCGUGAGGGAAAGGCGAAAAGAACCCCGGCGAGGGGAGUGAAAAAGAACCUGAAACCGUGUACGUACAAGCAGUGGGAGCCUCUUUUAUGGGGUGACUGCGUACCUUUUGUAUAAUGGGUCAGCGACUUAUAUUCUGUAGCAAGGUUAACCGAAUAGGGGAGCCGAAGGGAAACCGAGUCUUAACUGGGCGUUAAGUUGCAGGGUAUAGACCCGAAACCCGGUGAUCUAGCCAUGGGCAGGUUGAAGGUUGGGUAACACUAACUGGAGGACCGAACCGACUAAUGUUGAAAAAUUAGCGGAUGACUUGUGGCUGGGGGUGAAAGGCCAAUCAAACCGGGAGAUAGCUGGUUCUCCCCGAAAGCUAUUUAGGUAGCGCCUCGUGAAUUCAUCUCCGGGGGUAGAGCACUGUUUCGGCAAGGGGGUCAUCCCGACUUACCAACCCGAUGCAAACUGCGAAUACCGGAGAAUGUUAUCACGGGAGACACACGGCGGGUGCUAACGUCCGUCGUGAAGAGGGAAACAACCCAGACCGCCAGCUAAGGUCCCAAAGUCAUGGUUAAGUGGGAAACGAUGUGGGAAGGCCCAGACAGCCAGGAUGUUGGCUUAGAAGCAGCCAUCAUUUAAAGAAAGCGUAAUAGCUCACUGGUCGAGUCGGCCUGCGCGGAAGAUGUAACGGGGCUAAACCAUGCAC
This 879-nucleotide ribosomal RNA is filed under the name Escherichia coli. RNAcentral's name for it is "partial 23S ribosomal RNA". It matches the Rfam family "Bacterial large subunit ribosomal RNA", at positions 311 to 1194 of the family's 2925-position model. Lineage: Bacteria; Pseudomonadati; Pseudomonadota; Gammaproteobacteria; Enterobacterales; Enterobacteriaceae. The record is from RNAcentral.